Molecule: ribosomal RNA, 757 nt
Filed under: Lichenothelia intermixta
Lineage: Eukaryota; Fungi; Ascomycota; Dothideomycetes; Lichenotheliales; Lichenotheliaceae
Description: SSU rRNA
Rfam family: Eukaryotic small subunit ribosomal RNA
Source: RNAcentral
GAUUAAGCCAUGCAUGUCUAAGUAUAAGCAAUCUAUACGGUGAAACUGCGAAUGGCUCAUUAAAUCAGUUAUCGUUUAUUUGAUAGUACCUUACUACAUGGAUAACCGUGGUAAUUCUAGAGCUAAUACAUGCUAAAAACCCCGACUUCGGGAGGGGUGUAUUUAUUAGAUAAAAGACCAACGCCCUUCGGGGCUCCCUGGUGAUUCAUGAUAACUUAACGAAUCGCAUGGCCUUGCGCCGGCGAUGGUUCAUUCAAAUUUCUGCCCUAUCAACUUUCGAUGGUAGGAUAGUGGCCUACCAUGGUAUCAACGGGUAACGGGGAAUUAGGGUUCGAUUCCGGAGAGGGAGCCUGAGAAACGGCUACCACAUCCAAGGAAGGCAGCAGGCGCGCAAAUUACCCAAUCCCGACACGGGGAGGUAGUGACAAUAAAUACUGAUACAGGGCUCUUUUGGGUCUUGUAAUUGGAAUGAGUACAAUUUAAAUCCCUUAACGAGGAACAAUUGGAGGGCAAGUCUGGUGCCAGCAGCCGCGGUAAUUCCAGCUCCAAUAGCGUAUAUUAAAGUUGUUGCAGUUAAAAAGCUCGUAGUUGAACCUCGGGCCUGGCUGGCCGGUCCGCCUCACCGCGUGCACUGGUCCGGCCGGGCCUUUCCUCCUGGGGAUCCGCAUGCCCUUCACUGGGUGUGCCGGGGAACCAGGACUUUUACUUUGAAAAAAUUAGAGUGUUCAAAGCAGGCCUUUGCUCGAAUACAUUAGCA